ACGGAAUAGAUACCCAGGUAGUCCACGCCCUAAACGAUGUCUACUAGUUGUUGGUGGAGUAAAAUCCAUGAGUAAACGCAGCUAAACGCGUGAAGUAGACCGCCUGGGGAGUACGGUCGCAAGAUUAAAACUCAAAUGAAUUGACGGGGGCCCGCACAAGCGGUGGAUUAUGUGGAUUAAUUCGAUGCAACGCGAAAACCUUACCUGGCCUUGACAUGUAACGAACUUUCCAGAGAUGGAUUGGUGCUCGAAAGAGAACGUUAACACAGGUGCUGCAUGGCUGUCGUCAGCUCGUGUCGUGAGAUGUUGGGUUAAGUCCCGCAACGAGCGCAACCCUUGCCAUUAAUUGCCAUCAUUUAGUUGGGCACUUUAAUGGGACUGCCGGUGACAAACCGGAGGAAGGUGGGGAUGACGUCAAGUCCUCAUGGCCCUUAUGGCCAGGGCUUCACACGUAAUACAAUGGUCGGUACAGAGGGUUGCAACCCGCGAGGGGUAGCCAAUCCCAGAAAGCCGAUCGUAGUCCGGAUUGUAGUCUGCAACUCGAC
This 545-nucleotide ribosomal RNA is filed under the name uncultured bacterium. RNAcentral's name for it is "bacterial SSU rRNA". It matches the Rfam family "Bacterial small subunit ribosomal RNA", at positions 772 to 1316 of the family's 1533-position model. The record is from RNAcentral.